CCUACGGGAGGCAGCAGUGGGGAAUAUUGGACAAUGGGCGAAAGCCUGAUCCAGCAAUUCCGCGUGUGUGAAGAAGGCCUUCGGGUUGUAAAGCACUUUAGUGGGGGAAGAAACAGCUUGGCCACACCAAGCCUUGACGGUACCCCAAGAAUAAGCACCGGCUAACUCUGUGCCAGCAGCCGCGGUAAUACAGAGGGUGCAAGCGUUAAUCGGAUUUACUGGGCGUAAAGGGUGCGUAGGUGGCUAUUUAAGUCGGAUGUGAAAGCCCGGGGCUCAACCUCGGAAUUGCAUUCGAUACUGAGUGGCUAGAGUUCGGUAGAGGGCGGCGGAAUUUCCGGUGUAGCGGUGAAAUGCGUAGAUAUCGGAAGGAACAUCAAUGGCGAAGGCAGCCGCCUGGGCCUGGACUGACACUGAGGCACGAAAGCGUGGGUAGCAAACAGGAUUAGAUACCCUGGUAGUCCACGCCGUAAACGAUGAGAACUUGACGUUGGUUCGUUUUACGAAUCGGUGUCGNNGCACGCGAUAGUCUCCGCCGUGGAGACGCGCGAGUAGAACGUAAGAAGUAGAGNGNGAGAGNGCGACGACGACGACGAGGGAGAGG
This 601-nucleotide ribosomal RNA is filed under the name uncultured bacterium. RNAcentral describes it as "bacterial SSU rRNA". The stretch from base 1 to 534 matches the Rfam family "Bacterial small subunit ribosomal RNA", at positions 338 to 873 of the family's 1533-position model. The record is from RNAcentral.